AGAGUUUGAUCCUGGCUCAGAUUGAACGCUGGCGGCAGGCUUAACACAUGCAAGUCGAGCGGAAACGAUGGUAGCUUGCUACCAGGCGUCGAGCGGCGGACGGGUGAGUAAUACUUAGGAAUCUACCUAGUAGUGGGGGAUAGCACGGGGAAACUCGUAUUAAUACCGCAUACGACCUACGGGAGAAAGGGGGCAGUUUACUGCUCUCGCUAUUAGAUGAGCCUAAGUCGGAUUAGCUAGAUGGUGGGGUAAAGGCCUACCAUGGCGACGAUCUGUAGCUGGUCUGAGAGGAUGAUCAGCCACACCGGGACUGAGACACGGCCCGGACUCCUACGGGAGGCAGCAGUGGGGAAUAUUGGACAAUGGGGGAAACCCUGAUCCAGCCAUGCCGCGUGUGUGAAGAAGGCCUUUUGGUUGUAAAGCACUUUAAGCAGUGAAGAAGACUCUUCGGUUAAUACCCGGAGACGAUGACAUUAGCUGCAGAAUAGCCACCGGCUAACUCUGUGCCAGCAGCCGCGGUAAUACAGAGGGCGCCAGCGUUAAUCGGAAUUACUGGGCGUAAAGCGAGCGUAGGUGGCUUGAUAAGUCAGAUGUGAAAUCCCCGGGCUUAACCUGGGAACUGCAUCUGGAAACUGUUAGGCUAGAGUACGGUGAGAGGGAAGUAGAAUUUUCCAGGUGUACGCGGUGCAAAUGCGUAGAGAUCUGAAGGACAUACCCGAAUGGCGAAGGCAGCUUCCUGGCAUCAUACUGACACUGAGGCUCGAAAGCGUGGGUAGCAAACAGGAUUAGAUACCCUGGUAGUCCACGCCGUAAACGAUGUCUACUAGUCGUUGGGUCCCUUGAGGACUUAGUGACGCAGCUAACGCAAUAAGUAGACCGCCUGGGGAGUACGGCCGCAAGGUUAAAACUCAAAUGAAUUGACGGAGUAGGAAUCGCUAGUAAUCGCGGAUCAGAAUGCCGCGGUGAAUACGUUCCCGGGCCUUGUACACACCGCCCGUCACACCAUGGGAGUUGAUUGCACCAGAAGUGGAUAGCUUAACCUUCGGGGAGGCGUUCACCACGGUGUGGUUGAUGACUGGGGUGAAGUCGUAACAAGUAGCCGUAGGGGAACACUGCGGCUGGAUCACCUCCUUAUCGAUCCCCGGUACCGAGCUCGAUCAUGC
RNAcentral lists this ribosomal RNA (1163 nucleotides) under Psychrobacter immobilis. RNAcentral's name for it is "bacterial SSU rRNA". It matches the Rfam family "Bacterial small subunit ribosomal RNA". The record is from RNAcentral. Lineage: Bacteria; Pseudomonadati; Pseudomonadota; Gammaproteobacteria; Moraxellales; Moraxellaceae.